Molecule: long non-coding RNA, 331 nt
Filed under: Lathyrus oleraceus (garden pea)
Lineage: Eukaryota; Viridiplantae; Streptophyta; Magnoliopsida; Fabales; Fabaceae
Description: Pisum sativum (pea) long non-coding RNA (PSAT_LNC025087)
Source: RNAcentral
GAUGGGUGUUGAAUGAUUCUGGAUAAUGUGGUUUAAAGCUAACAUAGAUUCAGUUGGGGUAGAGGUCUUGUAGAGCCUGAUUGACCAGUUUCCCUGAUGAAGAAGAAAAGAACUCGACUUUGCCAAAGACAUAUGAGGCAUACUCAUCUGAGUCUUCGGGUCCAGUUUCCCUGAUGAAGAAGAAAAGAACUCGACUUUGCCAAAGACAUAUGAGGCAUACUCAUCUGAGUCUUCGGGUCCAGAAGUCUAUACUACCUCCUAAAUAGGACUCAUUUGGUUAAGCAGUAGAUCUAGCUUAUGACUCUAUUAUAUAGACGAUGCUUAGAUAAUC